Molecule: ribosomal RNA, 253 nt
Filed under: uncultured bacterium
Lineage: Bacteria
Description: partial 16S ribosomal RNA
Rfam family: Bacterial small subunit ribosomal RNA
Source: RNAcentral
GACGAACCGUGCGAACGUUGUUCGGAUUCACUGGGCUUAAAGGGCGCGUAGGCGGGCAUGCAAGUCAGGGGUGAAAGCUCCCGGCCUAACCGGGAAAGUGCCUUUGAUACUGCAUGUCUGGAGGGAGGUAGGGGCACGCGGAACUUCCGGUGGAGCGGUGAAAUGCGUAGAUAUCGGAAGGAACGCCGGUGGCGAAAGCGGCGUGCUGGACCUCUGCUGACGCUGAGGCGCGAAAGCCAGGGGAGCAAACGGG